RNAcentral lists this long non-coding RNA (235 nucleotides) under Mytilus galloprovincialis (Mediterranean mussel). Lineage: Eukaryota; Metazoa; Mollusca; Bivalvia; Mytilida; Mytilidae. The record is from RNAcentral.
GUUAUCUGUAGAUGAACGCCAGUGAAGUUGUCUCAAUUUUUUAAUUAUCGAAUGUCAUGUGUACACUAGUCUCUCGUCCUUAGUGAAUGGAAUAUUGGAUAGAAUUGAAUGUUUUAUAUGAUUUUACCUUAUAUAGAAACUAUAAACUAGAACUUUGGUUCAGACCAUUUCACUUUUAUCAACAAAAACUUGAAUGAACCUCAACUAAGACACAUGAUUUUUUUAAUUAGUUGUU